GAACGCUAGCUACAGGCUUAACACAUGCAAGUCGAGGGGCAGCAUGGUCUUAGCUUGCUAAGGCCGAUGGCGACCGGCGCACGGGUGAGUAACACGUAUCCAACCUGCCGUCUACUCUUGGACAGCCUUCUGAAAGGAAGAUUAAUACAAGAUGGCAUCAUGAGUCCGCAUGUUCACAUGAUUAAAGGUAUUCCGGUAGACGAUGGGGAUGCGUUCCAUUAGAUAGUAGGCGGGGUAACGGCCCACCUAGUCUUCGAUGGAUAGGGGUUCUGAGAGGAAGGUCCCCCACAUUGGAACUGAGACACGGUCCAAACUCCUACGGGAGGCAGCAGUGAGGAAUAUUGGUCAAUGGGCGAGAGCCUGAACCAGCCAAGUAGCGUGAAGGAUGACUGCCCUAUGGGUUGUAAACUUCUUUUAUAAAGGAAUAAAGUCGGGUAUGCAUACCCGUUUGCAUGUACUUUAUGAAUAAGGAUCGGCUAACUCCGUGCCAGCAGCCGCGGUAAUACGGAGGAUCCGAGCGUUAUCCGGAUUUAUUGGGUUUAAAGGGAGCGUAGAUGGAUGUUUAAGUCAGUUGUGAAAGUUUGCGGCUCAACCGUAAAAUUGCAGUUGAUACUGGAUAUCUUGAGUGCAGUUGAGGCAGGCGGAAUUCGUGGUGUAGCGGUGAAAUGCUUAGAUAUCACGAAGAACUCCGAUUGCGAAGGCAGCCUGCUAAGCUGCAACUGACAUUGAGGCUCGAAAGUGUGGGUAUCAAACAGGAUUAGAUACCCUGGUAGUCCACACGGUAAACGAUGAAUACUCGCUGUUUGCGAUAUACUGCAAGCGGCCAAGCGAAAGCGUUAAGUAUUCCACCUGGGGAGUACGCCGGCAACGGUGAAACUCAAAGGAAUUGACGGGGGCCCGCACAAGCGGAGGAACAUGUGGUUUAAUUCGAUGAUACGCGAGGAACCUUACCCGGGCUUAAAUUGCAGAUGAAUUACGGUGAAAGCCGUAAGCCGCAAGGCAUCUGUGAAGGUGCUGCAUGGUUGUCGUCAGCUCGUGCCGUGAGGUGUCGGCUUAAGUGCCAUAACGAGCGCAACCCUUGUUGUCAGUUACUAACAGGUUCCGCUGAGGACUCUGACAAGACUGCCAUCGUAAGAUGUGAGGAAGGUGGGGAUGACGUCAAAUCAGCACGGCCCUUACGUCCGGGGCUACACACGUGUUACAAUGGGGGGUACAGAGGGCCGCUACCACGCGAGUGGAUGCCAAUCCCCAAAACCUCUCUCAGUUCGGACUGGAGUCUGCAACCCGACUCCACGAAGCUGGAUUCGCUAGUAAUCGCGCAUCAGCCACGGCGCGGUGAAUACGUUCCCGGGCCUUGUACACACCGCCCGUCAAGCCAUGGGAGCCGGGGGUACCUGAAGUGCGUAACCGCGAGGAGCGCCCUAGGGUAAAACUGGUA
RNAcentral lists this ribosomal RNA (1438 nucleotides) under uncultured organism. Its description in RNAcentral is "SSU rRNA". It matches the Rfam family "Bacterial small subunit ribosomal RNA". The record is from RNAcentral.